Molecule: non-coding RNA, 51 nt
Filed under: unclassified sequences
Source: RNAcentral
GCCCUAAUGCAGCCGGAGGCGGUCACAAGCCCGCGAAAUGCAGAGUGGGGU